GACGAACGCUGGCGGCGUGCUUAACACAUGCAAGUCGAACGGAAAGGCCCUGCUUUUGUGGGGUGCUCGAGUGGCGAACGGGUGAGUAACACGUGAGUAACCUGCCCUUGACUUUGGGAUAACUUCAGGAAACUGGGGCUAAUACCGGAUAGGAGCUCCUGCUGCAUGGUGGGGGUUGGAAAGUUUCGGCGGUUGGGGAUGGACUCGCGGCUUAUCAGCUUGUUGGUGGGGUAGUGGCUUACCAAGGCUUUGACGGGUAGCCGGCCUGAGAGGGUGACCGGGCACAAUGGGACUGAGGUACGGCCCAGACUCCUACGGGAGGCAGCAGGGGGGAAUAUUGCGCAAUGGGGGGGAGCCUGAUGCAGCAACGCCGCGUGCGGGAUGACGGGCUUCGGGUUGUAAACCGCUUUCGCCUGUGACGAAGCGUGAGUGACGGUAAUGGGUAAAGAAGCACCGGCUAACUACGUG
Molecule: ribosomal RNA, 468 nt
Filed under: uncultured bacterium
Lineage: Bacteria
Description: partial 16S ribosomal RNA
Rfam family: Bacterial small subunit ribosomal RNA
Source: RNAcentral